This 496-nucleotide ribosomal RNA is filed under the name uncultured bacterium. RNAcentral's name for it is "partial 16S ribosomal RNA". It matches the Rfam family "Bacterial small subunit ribosomal RNA", at positions 28 to 523 of the family's 1533-position model. The record is from RNAcentral.
GAUGAACGCUGGCGGCGUGCUUAACACAUGCAAGUCGAACGGGGUACCCAUGACAGAGGCUUCGGCCAAUUGAUUGGAAUACCUAGUGGCGGACGGGUGAGUAACGCGUGAGGAACCUGCCUUGGAGUGGGGAAUAACAGUUGGAAACAGCUGCUAAUACCGCAUGAUAUGUCUGUGUCGCAUGGCACUGGACAGCAAAGAUUUAUCGCUCUGAGAUGGCCUCGCGUCUGAUUAGCUAGUUGGUGGGGUAACGGCUCACCAAGGCGACGAUCAGUAGCCGGACUGAGAGGUUGGCCGGCCACAUUGGGCCUGAGACACGGCCCAGACUCCUACGGGAGGCAGCAGUGGGGAAUAUUGGGCAAUGGGCGCAAGCCUGACCCAGCAACGCCGCGUGAAGGAAGAAGGCUUUCGGGUUGUAAACUUCUUUUGUCAGGGACGAUAGUGACGGUACCUGACGAAUAAGCCACGGCUAACUACGUGCCAGCAGCCGCCGUAA